UGGGGAAUAUUGGGCAAUGGGCGAAAGCCUGACCCAGCAACGCCGCGUGAGGGAAGAAGGUUUUCGGAUUGUAAACCUCUGUUCUUAGUGACGAAGGAAGUGACGGUAGCUAAGAAGGAAGCCCCGGCUAACUACGUGCCAGCAGCCGCGGUAAUACGUAGGGGGCGAGCGUUGUCCGGAAUUACUGGGCGUAAAGGGUGAGUAGGCGGCUUAUUAAGUUGGAUGUGAAAUACCUGGGCUUAACCUGGGGGGUGCAUUCAAAACUGGUAGGCUAGAGUAUCGGAGAGGAAAGCGGAAUUCCUGGUGUAGCGGUGAAAUGCGUAGAUAUCAGGAGGAACACCGGUGGCGAAGGCGGCUUUCUGGACGACAACUGACGCUGAGGCACGAAAGCGUGGGGAGCAAACAGG
This 407-nucleotide ribosomal RNA is filed under the name uncultured bacterium. RNAcentral's name for it is "bacterial SSU rRNA". It matches the Rfam family "Bacterial small subunit ribosomal RNA", at positions 355 to 776 of the family's 1533-position model. The record is from RNAcentral.